RNAcentral lists this ribosomal RNA (446 nucleotides) under uncultured bacterium. Its description in RNAcentral is "bacterial SSU rRNA". It matches the Rfam family "Bacterial small subunit ribosomal RNA", at positions 28 to 507 of the family's 1533-position model. The record is from RNAcentral.
GAUGAACGCUGGCGGUAUGCCUAACACAUGCAAGUCGUACGAGAGUUUUUAAUUCUAGUGGCGGACGGGUGAGUAACACGUGAGAAUUUACCUUUAGGAGGGGGAUAACAAUUGGAAACGAAUGCUAAUACCCCAUAUGCUUUUGAGUGAAAUGGAUUUAUAAUUAUCCGCCUAAAGAAAAGCUCGCGGCUGAUUAGCUUGUUGGUAAGGUAAGAGCUUACCAAGGCGACGAUCAGUAUCUGGUUUGAGAGGACGAUCAGACACACUGGAACUGAGACACGGUCCAGACUCCUACGGGAGGCAGCAGUGGGGAAUUUUCCGCAAUGGGCGAAAGCCUGACGGAGCAAUACCGCGUGAGGGAAGACUGCCUAUGGGUUGUAAACCUCUUUUUCUAGGGAGGAAUAAAAUGACGUGUACCUGAAGAAUAAGCAUCGGCUAACUCCGUG